RNAcentral lists this ribosomal RNA (1292 nucleotides) under uncultured bacterium. Its description in RNAcentral is "bacterial SSU rRNA". It matches the Rfam family "Bacterial small subunit ribosomal RNA", at positions 62 to 1353 of the family's 1533-position model. The record is from RNAcentral.
UCGAACGGUAACAGGGAGCUUGCUCCGCUGACGAGUGGCGAACGGGUGAGUAAUAUAUCGGAACGUACCCAAGAGUGGGGGAUAACGUAGCGAAAGUUACGCUAAUACCGCAUACGAUCUAUGGAUGAGAGCAGGGGACCUUCGGGCCUUGUGCUCCUGGAGCGGCCGAUAUCUGAUUAGCUAGUUGGUGAGGUAAAGGCUCACCAAGGCGACGAUCAGUAGCUGGUCUGAGAGGACGACCAGCCACACUGGAACUGAGACACGGUCCAGACUCCUACGGGAGGCAGCAGUGGGGAAUUUUGGACAAUGGGCGCAAGCCUGAUCCAGCAAUGCCGCGUGAGUGAAGAAGGCCUUUCGGGUUGUAAAGCUCUUUUGUCAGGGAAGAAACGGCUGUGGCUAAUAUCCACGGCUAAUGACGGUACCUGAAGAAUAAGCACCGGCUAACUACGUGCCAGCAGCCGCGGUAAUACGUAGGGUGCAAGCGUUAAUCGGAAUUACUGGGCGUAAAGCGUGCGCAGGCGGUUUUGUAAGUCUGUCGUGAAAUCCCCGGGCUCAACCUGGGAAUUGCGAUGGAGACUGCAAGGCUAGAAUCUGGCAGAGGGGGGUAGAAUUCCACGUGUAGCAGUGAAAUGCGUAGAGAUGUGGAGGAACACCGAUGGCGAAGGCAGCCCCCUGGGUCAAGAUUGACGCUCAUGCACGAAAGCGUGGGGAGCAAACAGGAUUAGAUACCCUGGUAGUCCACGCCCUAAACGAUGUCUACUAGUUGUCGGGUUUUAAUUAACUUGGUAACGCAGCUAACGCGUGAAGUAGACCGCCUGGGGAGUACGGUCGCAAGAUUAAAACUCAAAGGAAUUGACGGGGACCCGCACAAGCGGUGGAUGAUGUGGAUUAAUUCGAUGCAACGCGAAAAACCUUACCUACCCUUGACAUGUCAGGAAGACCGAAGAGAUUUGGGUUGUGCCCGAAAGGGAACCUGAACACAGGUGCUGCAUGGCUGUCGUCAGCUCGUGUCGUGAGAUGUUGGGUUAAGUCCCGCAACGAGCGCAACCCUUGUCAUUAGCUGCUACGCAAGAGCACUCUAAUGAGACUGCCGGUGACAAACCGGAGGAAGGUGGGGAUGACGUCAAGUCCUCAUGGCCCUUAUGGGUAGGGCUUCACACGUCAUACAGUGGUACAUACAGAGGGCCGCCAACCCGCGAGGGGGAGCUAAUCCCAGAAAGUGUAUCGUAGUCCGGAUCGUAGUCUGCAACUCGACUACGUGAAGUUGGAAUCGCUAGUAAUCGCGGAUCAGC